CGGCGUGUGGAAGGUCACCUGUGAACAUCGUUACCAGACAGUGUUAGAGCUGAGUGGAGAAAUCCAGCACUGUCCGGUAAGAUGCCCACAGAGACCCAGGAUGGCAGGGUGGA
RNAcentral lists this microRNA precursor (113 nucleotides) under Otolemur garnettii (small-eared galago). RNAcentral describes it as "miRNA (ENSOGAG00000020386.2)". The stretch from base 17 to 93 matches the Rfam family "mir-8/mir-141/mir-200 microRNA precursor family". From Rfam's summary of the family: The bounds of the precursors are predicted based on conservation and base pairing and are not generally known. The record is from RNAcentral. Lineage: Eukaryota; Metazoa; Chordata; Mammalia; Primates; Galagidae.